RNAcentral lists this ribosomal RNA (798 nucleotides) under uncultured bacterium. Its description in RNAcentral is "bacterial SSU rRNA". It matches the Rfam family "Bacterial small subunit ribosomal RNA", at positions 60 to 841 of the family's 1533-position model. The record is from RNAcentral.
AGUAGAACGCUGAAGUCUGGUGCUUGCACUAGACGGAUGAGUUGCGAACGGGUGAGUAACGCGUAGGUAACCUGCCUCAUAGCGGGGGAUAACUAUUGGAAACGAUAGCUAAUACCGCAUAACAGUAUUUACCGCAUGGUAGAUACUUGAAAGGAGCAAUUGCUUCACUAUGAGAUGGACCUGCGUUGUAUUAGCUAGUUGGUGAGGUAACGGCUCACCAAGGCAUCGAUACAUAGCCGACCUGAGAGGGUGAUCGGCCACACUGGGACUGAGACACGGCCCAGACUCCUACGGGAGGCAGCAGUAGGGAAUCUUCGGCAAUGGGGGCAACCCUGACCGAGCAACGCCGCGUGAGUGAAGAAGGUUUUCGGAUCGUAAAGCUCUGUUGUAAGAGAAGAACUGUGAGAAGAGUGGAAAGUUUCUCACUUGACGGUAUCUUACCAGAAAGGGACGGCUAACUACGUGCCAGCAGCCGCGGUAAUACGUAGGUCCCGAGCGUUGUCCGGAUUUAUUGGGCGUAAAGCGAGCGCAGGCGGUUUGAUAAGUCUGAAGUAAAAGGCUGUGGCUUAACCAUAGUACGCUUUGGAAACUGUCAAACUUGAGUGCAGAAGGGGAGAGUGGAAUUCCAUGUGUAGCGGUGAAAUGCGUAGAUAUAUGGAGGAACACCGGUGGCGAAAGCGGCUCUCUGGUCUGUAACUGACGCUGAGGCUCGAAAGCGUGGGGAGCGAACAGGAUUAGAUACCCUGGUAGUCCACGCCGUAAACGAUGAGUGCUAGGUGUUGGGUCCUUUCCGGACUC